Cairina moschata (Muscovy duck) is the source of this 1755-nucleotide long non-coding RNA. The record is from Ensembl. Lineage: Eukaryota; Metazoa; Chordata; Aves; Anseriformes; Anatidae.
AUGCUCGCGGUCUGGGAGCUGCGGACACUUUCACCUCUUCAAUCCCCCCUCGUAAACUUGCGAGCCCCAGACCAGACGGCUGCUGCCGCCCUGUCCGACCCCCGCCGCACCUCCUCUCCCGCAGAAAACCUCUCCCACCUGCCCGCUGCUGCCCGCACACCACCACCUCCCCGGCCACCCCCGGACCCUCACCGCGGCAUCGGGGCGGCCGCCACCGCUAGAGCCGCCCAGCCCCGCCUCUUCCCCGCCCGCCGCCCCCUCCCCAAUCCGCCGCCGCUCCCGGGCUCGGCCACCCCCCCGGCUCCGGCCCCGGCCCUGCCCCCGGGCGCGCCCGCCGCGCUCAGCUGGCAGCCGGCUGCCGAGGCGCAGGGGCGGCGGUGCCAUCAGCUGCGGGAGCACGGCUCGGCUUGGCAAGCGGCUCACGCAGUCGCAGGGAAGAGGAGCAGCUGGGAGCGCGGCCGCCGCGGAGGACCGGCACGUCCUCGUUCGCGUCCCUGUUCCGCGAGGAGGGCUCCGCCGAUCCACCGCCCCCUCCUCCGGGAGCCGCCGGGGGAGGGCUCGGACGCGAAGUUGCAGCCAGCCCGGGGGAAAAGUAGCGGCAAGGCGGAAGGGGCCGGAGCCGAGCCCAGCCCAGCCCAGCCGAGCCGAGCCGAGAGGGGCCGACGCAGCGCGCCGCCGCCCGCCGCCCCCCGGACGGGGCUGACCCAGCGCCCCCGGCCGCGCUCACCGGGUCCCCCGCCUCGUCCCGGAACCAGCAUCGAGGGAGAGGGGACGCUGCUGGACGCCGCUGCGGAAAGAACCAACAUGCAAAGUGGAAGGAAAACCGAAACUGCUCUUUUAGCAAAAAAAUACUGGCUUUCAGCCCCUUUCAUAUGUUUUCAUUUCACUUCAUAAUGGGAGGAGCACAAUUCUCUGAAUCAUUGAGGCAAAAUUUGGGCAUCAUUGGCUGAAGAUAAGAUGAAAGAAGACUUGAAAAUGUGUCGAUAUUCUAUGACUAUUAAUUCAGACAAACCUUUCGCAAAGGGGAAUAGUGGUUAAAAUUACCGCAGUCUCAUCUAAAGGAGCUAAUGAAGAAUUUCUCUUCGUUUUUUCUUUCUUCCCUUUCUCCCAUGAGUCCAAAAAGAGCACGAUGGAAAGAGUGUGUAUACAAAUCAAGAUAAGAGGAAGGCUGAAGAAAGUAGCUUCAGUUUUUAAGUGUGUUUUCCAAGUGCUGUAAUUUCCCUAAAUAAUCAAAUUCAACCCAUUGUUUUGAAUAAAUUAUAUCUUUUUUGUGAUCAGUGAAGGGUUUUUUUUUUUUUUUUUGGUCAGCUAUAGGAGUGGAAUUUGACCUGAUUGAAAGUAUUAACACAGAAAAUGUAUGGCUCUGAUUCCUGUUUUCAAAUCAAAGUUUCCAAGUUAUCAAAGAAUAGUGUUUUGGUUUCUUUCAGUUUCUGACUGUGUAUUGUCAACCUGCAUUUUGUAUGUUUAUCUUGGAGACUUUACUUUCUCCCAUUUUAAUGCUUAUACUGACUGUAGUGUUGUACUUGAGAAAAGUGUGAACAGGCAAGGCACCUGAGAUUUAAGUUCUCAACAGCCUCAUUAUUUCAGUGUUGUAGCUCAAAUUACGAGUAAUCUGAGUAUCUGUUAGAAUGUGCAGUAAACACUAAGUCUUUUCUUUGAAGAAAAAAAUGCCUUAAGAUGCUCAUGCUUGUGCUAACUGGAUCAAAGCUUGAUAUCUGAACAUCAUGUUUUGUUAGGAAGUGCAUGCCUGGGGAA